Molecule: non-coding RNA, 113 nt
Organism: Acanthosepion pharaonis
Lineage: Eukaryota; Metazoa; Mollusca; Cephalopoda; Sepiida; Sepiidae
Source: the annotation of a GenBank genome assembly
UUACGGCCACAUCACGUUGAAAAACUGUUCCCGGACGAUUACCGAAGUUAAGCAACGUCGAGCCUGAUCAUUACCUAGAUGGGUGACUGCUUGGUAAUACCUGGUGUUGUAAG